GCCAGGGGGCCUCACGAGGGGGCCAUAAGCCCUAGGGGCGCGCCCAAUGAGCUUGUCGCUCCCUCAUGCAGUAUCUGGCCUCCUCCCAAAGCUUCAUGGGCUCAAAAUCUUCCAAAAAAAUUAUCAAAAAGUUCCAUUGUGUUUGGACUCUAUUUUGUAUUGAUUUUCUGCAAAAGUAAAAAACACGCAAAAAACAGAAACUGACGCUGGACACUGGGUU
Molecule: long non-coding RNA, 220 nt
Filed under: Hordeum vulgare
Lineage: Eukaryota; Viridiplantae; Streptophyta; Magnoliopsida; Poales; Poaceae
Description: long non-coding RNA (HVUL_LNC003419)
Source: RNAcentral